UACGUAGGGGGCAAGCGUUGUCCGGAAUCAUUGGGCGUAAAGCGCGUGUAGGCGGUUCAGUAAGUCUGCUGUGAAAGUCCAGGGCUCAACCCUGGGAUGCCGGUGGAUACUGCUGGGCUAGAGUACGGAAGAGGCGGGUGGAAUUCCCGGUGUAGCGGUGAAAUGCGCAGAUAUCGGGAGGAACACCAAUUGCGAAGGCAGCUCGCUGGGACGUCACUGACGCUGAGACGCGAAAGCGUGGGGAGCAAACAGG
RNAcentral lists this ribosomal RNA (253 nucleotides) under uncultured bacterium. RNAcentral describes it as "partial 16S ribosomal RNA". It matches the Rfam family "Bacterial small subunit ribosomal RNA", at positions 524 to 776 of the family's 1533-position model. The record is from RNAcentral.